GAUGAACGCUGGCGGCGUGCUUAACGCAUGCAAGUCGAGCGAGAAGACUUUGACAGAUCCUUCGGGUGACGGAUAAGUUGGAAAGCGGCGGACGGGUGAGUAACGCGUGGGUAACCUGCCCCAUACACAGGGAUAGCCAUUGGAAACGAUGAUUAAUACCUGAUAAUACAUAUGAAUCGCAUGAUUUGAAUGUCAAAGAUUUUAUCGGUAUGGGAUGGACCCGCGUCUGAUUAGCUAGUUGGUAAGGUAAUGGCUUACCAAGGCGACGAUCAGUAGCCGACCUGAGAGGGUGAUCGGCCACACUGGAACUGAGACACGGUCCAGACUCCUACGGGAGGCAGCAGUGGGGAAUAUUGCACAAUGGG
Molecule: ribosomal RNA, 365 nt
Filed under: uncultured Bacillota bacterium
Lineage: Bacteria; Bacillati; Bacillota
Description: bacterial SSU rRNA
Rfam family: Bacterial small subunit ribosomal RNA
Source: RNAcentral